Molecule: ribosomal RNA, 209 nt
Filed under: Escherichia coli
Lineage: Bacteria; Pseudomonadati; Pseudomonadota; Gammaproteobacteria; Enterobacterales; Enterobacteriaceae
Description: partial 16S ribosomal RNA
Rfam family: Bacterial small subunit ribosomal RNA
Source: RNAcentral
AAAUUGAAGAGUUUGAUCAUGGCUCAGAUUGAACGCUGGCGGCAGGCCUAACACAUGCAAGUCGAACGGUAACAGGAAACAGCUUGCUGUUUCGCUGACGAGUGGCGGACGGGUGAGUAAUAUCUGGGAAACUGCCUGAUGGAGGGGGAUAACUACUGGAAACGGUAGCUAAUACCGCAUAACGUCGCAAGACCAAAGAGGGGGACCUU